GCCUUGGGGGCUGGGAUGCAGGAGGAAGGUAGGAAGUGCGGGGGGAGGGCCGGCGCGGGCGGGCGCGGGCGGGCCCUGGGCUGGCUCGCUGCCCCUAAUCCGCCCGGCCGGGCGCCGCCACGGUCCCGGAGCAGCUGUGCGGCCGGCUCCGCUGCGGCGGCCGUCCUUGGCGAGGGAGCGGGGCGGGCGGCGGGAGGAAGCGGGCUCCCGAGAGACGGGCUCGUGCGCGGCGACCUGGGCCACCGCCAGCGGCCGCAGCCCUGAGUCGGGGCUGGUCGCCCUGCAGGCGGGCCGGCUGGGGCCCGUCCCCGGCGCGCUCCGGUGAGGAAUGCGUAACCUUUCUGUCCUUGGCCAGCAGUGGCCUUCUGUCUCCAACUUUUACAGUAGGGCCUGGCCCCCUGCCUUCCGUGUCAGGGGAGGGCGUGUGCUCCUUUCCAGCCCUUCUUUCUCGGAUAGACUUCUCGCUCGCGAGAGGCUCGGCCGGCGGGAAGAGGCGGUGGGAGGCCGUGAGUGUUACGUUCCUGCCGCAAAUGAGGAGACGAUGAGUUUUCCUUUUUUAGCUUUGCUGGUAAAUACUGCUGCCUUGGCCCUCGGUUCCUAAAGUGAAAAGCUCGGUUAGCAGUCCCCCGCACUUCCUUCUGUUGGCCUGAGAAUCAUGCAAUAAUGUAAGGAGAUUUAGGGUCAAAUUUUAGAUUUGUAUGUAGUUUAGAAAAUAAUCGUAUCCAGGUUUUUGUGCUGAAUGGAGUUUAGGUUCAUUUACAGUAUGUUCAGGGAGUGUGUAGUUAAGGAAGUAAAAACUUGUAAGAUACUUCGGGUUUUGUGAGGGUGUUUGAUUUAUUAUACACAGUUGCUAAAAGUGUUGUCUUCAAACUUGUGAGUUUUUUGAGAGACAAACCUCUCCCAUUUCUCCUGAAUUCAGUUAUAAUUAAAUAGUAUUUUUAAAUGUGUUGCUUGGGUACAGGCAAUUAUGGUUGAUAGUGGGAAAAGUAAUGCGUUUGGGUAGUUAUUUUGCAGUGAUAGCUAGAAGAUCCUUUUCUUCAUGUUGAAAGGGGCUGUGGGUCCUUCCCUCUUCACUAAAUUGAAGCUCUGUUAAAUUUGAGAGACUGGAGAAUUAGGCAGGUGUGAGGGAAACAAAACACCUGUUCAGAAAUGAGAGGAAAUUUGCAAACGACGGAAUUCAGACUUCUAGAAUGAAGAGAUCAGUAUUAUACAAGAUGAGAGUAGAAUUUGGAUCCCCAGUAAUGAGUUGUCAACAUUGCCUCAUGUGACCUCAGGACUGGAGUAAAAGGAGGCCUGGUCACUCUUGCCCUUUGCCUGUAUGGGUGUUCUAAGCAUUGCACAAUCACUUAAGAGUGGACUUCAUUAAAUAACCAGAUAAAACGAGA
Molecule: long non-coding RNA, 1385 nt
Organism: Herpailurus yagouaroundi (jaguarundi)
Lineage: Eukaryota; Metazoa; Chordata; Mammalia; Carnivora; Felidae
Exons: 2
Source: RefSeq, a predicted model, not a curated record